GCCUGGGUGGCUCAGUCAGUUAAGUGUCUGACUUUGGCUCAGGUCAUGAUCUCAUGGUUUGUGGGUUCGAGCCCCACAUUGGGCU
RNAcentral lists this transfer RNA (85 nucleotides) under Felis catus (domestic cat). It matches the Rfam family "tRNA". From Rfam's summary of the family: Transfer RNA (tRNA) molecules are approximately 80 nucleotides in length. Lineage: Eukaryota; Metazoa; Chordata; Mammalia; Carnivora; Felidae. The record is from Rfam by way of RNAcentral. RNAcentral also lists the same sequence under 4 other names.